GGCCUACCAUGGUGGUAACGGGUAACGGGGUGUUAGGGCACGACACCGGAGAGGGAGCCUGAGAAACGGCUACCACAUCCAAGGAUGGCAGCAGGCGCGCAAAUUACCCAAUCCCGACACGGGGAGGUAGUGACAAUAAAUAACAAUACGGGGUUCUUUCGGAUUUCGUAAUUGGAAUGAGUACAAUUUAAAUCUCUUAACGAGGAACAAUUGGAGGGCAAGUCUGGUGCCAGCAGCCGCGGUAAUUCCAGCUCCAAUAGCGUAUAUUAAAGUUGUUGCAGUUAAAAAGCUCGUAGUUGAAUUUCGGGAUCGACGGGUCGGUCGCGCCUCUGGUGUGUACUGGCCCUGUCGGUUUCUCCCUUCUGACGAACCACGAUGUCAUUAAUUUGGUGUCGUGGGAAAUCAGGACUGUUACUUUGAAAAAAUUAGAGUGUUUAAAGCAGGCAUUCGCUUGAAUACAUUAGCAUGGAAUAAUGAAAUAGGACGUUUGAUCUUAUUUUGUUGGUUUCUAAGAUCGACGUAAUGAUUAAUAGGGAUAGUUGGGGGCAUUAGUAUUCAAUUGUCAGAGGUGAAAUUCUUGGAUUUAUUGAAGACUAACUACUGCGAAAGCAUUUGCCAAGGAUGUUUUCAUUAAUCAAGAACGAAAGUCAGAGGUUCGAAGACGAUCAGAUACCGUCGUAGUUCUGACCAUAAACGAUGUCGACUAGCGAUCCGCAAUCGUUGUUCAUAUGACCUUGCGGGCAGCCUUCG
RNAcentral lists this ribosomal RNA (750 nucleotides) under uncultured Glomeromycotina. RNAcentral describes it as "SSU rRNA". It matches the Rfam family "Eukaryotic small subunit ribosomal RNA", at positions 338 to 1092 of the family's 1831-position model. Lineage: Eukaryota; Fungi; Glomeromycota. The record is from RNAcentral.